UACGUAGGGGGCGAGCGUUGUCCGGAAUUACUGGGCGUAAAGGGCGUGUAGGCGGUUAAUUAAGUCAGGUGUGAAAACCCGGGGCUCAACCGCGGGAUUGCACCUGAAACUGAUUAGCUUGAGGGCAAGAGAGGGAAGCGGAAUUCCUAGUGUAGCGGUGAAAUGCGUAGAUAUUAGGAGGAACACCAGUGGCGAAGGCGGCUUCCUGGCUUGGCCCUGACGCUGAGGCGCGAAAGCGUGGGGAGCAAACAGG
RNAcentral lists this ribosomal RNA (253 nucleotides) under uncultured bacterium. RNAcentral's name for it is "partial 16S ribosomal RNA". It matches the Rfam family "Bacterial small subunit ribosomal RNA", at positions 524 to 776 of the family's 1533-position model. The record is from RNAcentral.